GUACUUCCUUCAGCAGCACAUACGUUAAAAUUGCAACAAUGCAGAGAAGAUUACACGAUCCCUGCACAAGGACGACAUGCAAAUUAGUGAAGUGUUCCUUAUUUAA
Small nuclear RNA from Cynocephalus volans (Philippine flying lemur), 106 nucleotides. Lineage: Eukaryota; Metazoa; Chordata; Mammalia; Dermoptera; Cynocephalidae. The record is from RefSeq and is a predicted model, not a curated record.